ACGGGUGGUAAUGCCGGAUGUUCCACAUGAUCGCAUGUGAUUGUGGGAAAGAUUCUAUCGGCGUGGGAUGGGGUCGCGUCCUAUCAGCUUGUUGGUGAGGUAACGGCUCACCAAGGCUUCGACGGGUAGCCGGCCUGAGAGGGCGACCGGCCACAUUGGGACUGAGAUACGGCCCAGACUCCUACGGGAGGCAGCAGUGGGGAAUAUUGCACAAUGGGCGCAAGCCUGAUGCAGCGACGCCGCGUGAGGGAUGGAGGCCUUCGGGUUGUAAACCUCUUUUGUUUGGGAGCAAGCCUUCGGGUGAGUGUACCUUUCGAAUAAGCGCCGGCUAACUACGUGCCAGCAGCCGCGGUAAUACGUAGGGCGCAAGCGUUAUCCGGAUUUAUUGGGCGUAAAGGGCUCGUAGGCGGCUCGUCGCGUCCGGUGUGAAAGUCCAUCGCUUAACGGUGGAUCUGCGCCGGGUACGGGCGGGCUGGAGUGCGGUAGGGGAGACUGGAAUUCCCGGUGUAACGGUGGAAUGUGUAGAUAUCGGGAAA
This 536-nucleotide ribosomal RNA is filed under the name Bifidobacterium bifidum. RNAcentral's name for it is "bacterial SSU rRNA". It matches the Rfam family "Bacterial small subunit ribosomal RNA", at positions 156 to 704 of the family's 1533-position model. The record is from RNAcentral. Lineage: Bacteria; Bacillati; Actinomycetota; Actinomycetes; Bifidobacteriales; Bifidobacteriaceae.